Non-coding RNA from Paramuricea clavata, 334 nucleotides. NCBI's taxonomy places the organism in Eukaryota, Metazoa, Cnidaria, Anthozoa, Malacalcyonacea, Plexauridae. The record is from the annotation of a GenBank genome assembly.
GUAUAUAUAUCAGUGUGAGAGAUAGCCAAUUGUUCAUUUAAUUUCAUUGCUGCACUUUGUUAAUAUUCGUAGAGGUUUGAUCUUGUACGGUUUUUUAGACUUGCUUAUUCACCACUUCCGAAAAGAAUUCUUACUAUUUCCAGCAGCAAUUAGAUUACAUUUCUUCUAUGAUAAGAAUCGGCAUCACCAAGUUUUAAUACAAAUUAUGCGUGCCAUCGUAUGGCCAAUGGCAUGCAGCUGCAUACAUAUUUUAAUUAUGAAAGUUCAUAUAUAUUAACCGUGGAUAACAGAGUAGUUGUCAACAAUAGCAAUACUCCAUCACAUUACCAAUGCC